GUUCUUGUAGUUAAAAUUUAUAACAACGGCUUUUCAGGCCGUAGAUCUCGGAGAAAGGCCGAGUGAGAAUU
This 71-nucleotide transfer RNA is filed under the name Pyrgilauda davidiana (Small snowfinch). RNAcentral's name for it is "tRNA-Glu". It matches the Rfam family "tRNA". From Rfam's summary of the family: Transfer RNA (tRNA) molecules are approximately 80 nucleotides in length. Their secondary structure includes four short double-helical elements and three loops (D, anti-codon, and T loops). Lineage: Eukaryota; Metazoa; Chordata; Aves; Passeriformes; Passeridae. The record is from RNAcentral.